This 506-nucleotide ribosomal RNA is filed under the name uncultured bacterium. Its description in RNAcentral is "partial 16S ribosomal RNA". It matches the Rfam family "Bacterial small subunit ribosomal RNA", at positions 29 to 523 of the family's 1533-position model. The record is from RNAcentral.
AGUGAACGCUGGCGGUAGGCCUAACACAUGCAAGUCGAACGGCAGCACAGGAGAGCUUGCUCUCUGGGUGGCGAGUGGCGGACGGGUGAGGAAUACAUCGGAAUCUACUCUGUCGUGGGGGAUAACGUAGGGAAACUUACGCUAAUACCGCAUACGACCUACGGGUGAAAGCAGGGGACCUUCGGGCCUUGCGCGAUUGAAUGAGCCGAUGUCGGAUUAGCUAGUUGGCGGGGUAAAGGCCCACCAAGGCGACGAUCGGUAGCUGGUCUGAGAGAAUGAUCAGCCACACUGGAACUGAGACACGGUCCAGACUCCUACGGGAGGCAGCAGUGGGGAAUAUUGGACAAUGGGCGCAAGCCUGAUUCAGCCAUACCGCGUGGGUGAAGAAGGCCUUCGGGUUGUAAAGCCCUUUUGUUGGGAAAGAAAUCCAGCUGGCUAAUACCCGGUUGGGAUGACGGUACCCAAAGAAUAAGCACCGGCUAACUUCGUGCCAGCAGCCGCCGUAA